GAGCGCACCCCUUCGGGGGCGAGCGGCGGACGGGUUAGUAACGCGUGGGAACAUACCCAAUGGUACGGAAUAGCCUCGGGAAACUGAGAGUAAUACCGUAUGUGCCCUUCGGGGGAAAGAUUUAUCGCCAUUGGAUUGGCCCGCGUUAGAUUAGAUAGUUGGUGGGGUAAUGGCCUACCAAGUCUACGAUCUAUAGCUGGUUUUAGAGGAUGAUCAGCAACACUGGGACUGAGACACGGCCCAGACUCCUACGGGAGGCAGCAGUGGGGAAUCUUAGACAAUGGGCGCAAGCCUGAUCUAGCCAUGCCGCGUGUGUGAUGAAGGCCUUAGGGUCGUAAAGCACUUUCGCCAGAGAUGAUAAUGACAGUAUCUGGUAAAGAAACCCCGGCUAACUCCGUGCCAGCAGCCGCGGUAAUACGGAGGGGGUUAGCGUUGUUCGGAAUUACUGGGCGUAAAGCGUACGUAGGCGGAUCAGAAAGUAUGGGGUGAAAUCCCAGGGCUCAACCCUGGAACUGCCUCAUAAACUCCUGGUCUUGAGUUCGAGAGAGGUGAGUGGAAUUCCAAGUGUAGAGGUGAAAUUCGUAGAUAUUUGGAGGAACACCAGUGGCGAAGGCGGCUCACUGGCUCGAUACUGACGCUGAGGUACGAAAGUGUGGGGAGCAAACAGGAUUAGAUACCCUGGUAGUCCACACCGUAAACGAUGAAUGCCAGUCGUCGGGCAGUAUACUGUUCGGUGACACACCUAACGGAUUAA
Molecule: ribosomal RNA, 754 nt
Filed under: uncultured Sulfitobacter sp.
Lineage: Bacteria; Pseudomonadati; Pseudomonadota; Alphaproteobacteria; Rhodobacterales; Roseobacteraceae
Description: bacterial SSU rRNA
Rfam family: Bacterial small subunit ribosomal RNA
Source: RNAcentral